ACACACACAUACGUACACACACACAUACACACACACACACACACACACACACACACACACACACACACACACACACACACACACACACACACACACACACACACCCUAUCUCUUCAAGAAUGUAAAAAAGGUUCCGGACUUGAGGCAAAUGUUUGUUGGAAUAAGUGGUGAUUUCCUGAUCGUGCUUUAAAAGGAGAUGAGACAGACCUAUUUUUAAGGGGAGUGUUAAUCCAGCAGUGGAUGAGACACAGCACAGAGCACACAGAAGGAAAAAGCAGGAAAGCUGACGGCGUGUGUAGGUCUGAGUCUCGUUAGGAAUGUCUCCUCUGGUUUUAAUGCCCUUUUGCCGGUCGCUGGAGGAUGCAGGCUAAAGCUCGGCACACGUGAAGCCCAUUUACCGUCAUCCUGGCAUCUGUUCUCACUAAUCCCCUCCAGACGUAACAAUAUUCCCUCCAAUAAGAUUAUGAUUGCUCAAUAAGCCUUAUCUAUGUAAUUCAGAAAACAUAUACGGCUUUAAACGAACUGGCUAGAUUAGAGAAGUUCUUAGCUAAUCUGGAGUCAGUCUGGAGUCAAUC
Long non-coding RNA from Tachysurus vachellii, 575 nucleotides. RefSeq lists it as uncharacterized. The record is from RefSeq and is a predicted model, not a curated record. The transcript has 3 exons. NCBI's taxonomy places the organism in Eukaryota, Metazoa, Chordata, Actinopteri, Siluriformes, Bagridae.